UACAUACUCCCUCCGUCCGGAAAUACUUGUCCUAGAAAUAGAUGUAUCUAGACUUAUUUUAGUUAUAGAUACAUCCAUUUUGCACAUUUCUAGAACGAGUAUUUCCGGAUGAAGGGAGUAUAUG
Molecule: non-coding RNA, 124 nt
Organism: Hordeum vulgare subsp. vulgare (domesticated barley)
Lineage: Eukaryota; Viridiplantae; Streptophyta; Magnoliopsida; Poales; Poaceae
Source: Rfam